This 1115-nucleotide long non-coding RNA is filed under the name Ananas comosus (pineapple). Its description in RNAcentral is "long non-coding RNA (ACOM_LNC014114)". Lineage: Eukaryota; Viridiplantae; Streptophyta; Magnoliopsida; Poales; Bromeliaceae. The record is from RNAcentral.
UUUGGGGUGCAUGUGCGAGAGAAAAAGUAAAGUGUUGUCUUCUUUAUUGGUUUAUAGAAGACGAGAGAAUGGUAGAAAAGAUUCAGAAAGAGAACUUAGGUUGUAACUACUCAGUUGCAGAAGAGAAGUCAGGUAUAAUAUUUUCUUAUUUAAUAAAUCUUAUUUUACCCUCAUAUUUUCUAUUUAGUUAUUUUUUUCUCUACUGAGGAAACGAAUUUAUAGUAAAAAUCCGAUUCAACGCUUCUGUAACGGAAUUCCAACAAUCGGUACCGAAUUCAUAACAAUUAGUAUCGGAACGGAUUACGGAUUCUCAAAAUCCGAUAUCAGGGUGAGUACCGGAUUCCUAACAAUGCACUCGCCCUCCUCAUCAUCAUCAAAUCUUGCAGCAUUUUCGUCACAGUCGUCGUCCACGACCACACCUUUCGCCGCAGUCUUAUCUACGCGAUGUGUAACAUAUCUGAGUUAGCGUUGAUGGAGGUGUAGGCGAAAUAAGAGAGAGGAGCUGGCGUGGACGUGAGGACAGUGGAGGACAAGGAGAUGGAAAGAGAAAGAAAGUAAAAAAACAGCGAAAGAAAAAAAAGAGGACAUUGGAGGAGAAAUAAUAAUAAGGAUAUUUUGAUCAAUUUACUAAAAGUUCAAAUCGAGUUUGCCAAAUUAAAAAAAUGGUUUGUUUUUGCAAAAACUCAAAAUUGGUGAAUUUUUAUGUAAAUUAAUCAAAAAUAAAUGUUGAAUCAUAAUUUUGAUUAAUUAUGUUUCAGGAAAAGGAGAGAUUUAUAACUUUUUUUUUCCCUCUUUUCUCUUUGGAAAAACUUCAAAUAACACACAUGUGGUUUCACACUUUCUUACUUUAAUACCCUGUAGUUUAAAAUAUAUUAAUUUAGUGUCAUGUGGUUUUAUUUUUAUCUUUUUAUUAUUGUGAUAAAGUUAAAACUAAAGGAUACUAAAGUAAAUAUUCGGUAAACUUAGAUGGGACAUCUGAAGUUUUUUUAUAUAUAAUGUAAGGAAAUAUUAACAAAAAAACUGACGAAAAGAUAAAAAUAAAACCACAGAAUAUUAAUUUGAUACACUUUAAAACAAAAUAUUAAAAUUAAAAAAUGUGAAACUGCGGAGGUGGG